GCUGGGCAUGGUGGUGCGCGCCUGUAGUCCCAGCUACUCGGAGGCUGAGGUGGGAGGAUUGCUUGAGCCCAGGAGUUCUGGGCUGUAGUGCGCUAUGUGGAUAGGGUGUCUGCACUAAGUUUGGCAUCAAUAUGGUGACCUCCUGGGAGUGGGAGACCACCAGGUUGCCUAAGGAGGGGUGAAAUGGCCCAGGUCGGAAACGGAGCAGGUCAGAAACUCCUGUGCUGAUCAUGCCUGUGAAUAGCCACUGCACUCCAGCCUGGGCAACAUAACGAGACUCCAUCUCUU
This is an unclassified non-coding RNA of Callithrix jacchus (white-tufted-ear marmoset), 288 nucleotides long. It matches the Rfam family "Metazoan signal recognition particle RNA". Rfam says of the family: The signal recognition particle (SRP) is a universally conserved ribonucleoprotein. NCBI's taxonomy places the organism in Eukaryota, Metazoa, Chordata, Mammalia, Primates, Cebidae. The record is from Ensembl.